Molecule: ribosomal RNA, 525 nt
Filed under: Ptyodactylus oudrii
Lineage: Eukaryota; Metazoa; Chordata; Lepidosauria; Squamata; Phyllodactylidae
Description: partial 16S ribosomal RNA
Rfam family: Bacterial large subunit ribosomal RNA
Source: RNAcentral
UGCCACCUGCCCAGUGAAUGCUUCUUUUAAACAGCCGUGGCAUCCUAACCGUGUAAAGGUAGCUUAAUCACUUGUCUCCUAAAUAGGGACCAGUAUGAAUGGCUAAAUGAGGGCCCAACUGUCUCAUAUGAUUGCCAAUGAAACUGCUCUCUCAGUACAAAAGCUGGGAUACACCCACAAGACGAAAAGACCCUGUGGAACUUCAACUAUACUAUCAGCCCAGCCACAAAACAGCCAACAAGGCUGCCAUACCAUGCUCAUCCCAUUGAUAGGAAGUUUAAGUUGGGGCGACUGUGGAGCAAAAACAAACCUCCAUGCACCCUAUACCACCAGGCCAACUAGCCAAAGUAUUUUAUAUUAAGACCCAGUACUACUGAACAACGAGCCAAGCUACCCCAGGGAUAACAGCACCGUCCUCUUUAAGAGUUCCUAUCACCAAGAGGGUUUACGGCCUCAAUGUUGGAUCAGGGCUUCCCAGUGGUGCAGCCACUACUAAUGGUCCGUUUGUUCAAUGAUCAAUGCCCU